UACGUAGGGUGCAAGCGUUAUCCGGAAUUAUUGGGCGUAAAGAGCUCGUAGGCGGUUUGUCACGUCUGCUGUGAAAACUGGAGGCUCAACCUCCAGCCUGCAGUGGGUACGGGCAGACUAGAGUGCGGUAGGGGAGAUUGGAAUUCCUGGUGUAGCGGUGGAAUGCGCAGAUAUCAGGAGGAACACCGAUGGCGAAGGCAGAUCUCUGGGCCGUAACUGACGCUGAGGAGCGAAAGCAUGGGGAGCAAACGGG
Molecule: ribosomal RNA, 253 nt
Filed under: uncultured bacterium
Lineage: Bacteria
Description: partial 16S ribosomal RNA
Rfam family: Bacterial small subunit ribosomal RNA
Source: RNAcentral